UACGUAGGUGGCGAGCGUUGUCCGGAAUUACUGGGUGUAAAGGGCGUGUAGGCGGGGAUGUAAGUCAGAUGUGAAAUUCCAUGGCUUAACUGUGGCGCUGCAUCUGAAACUAUGUCUCUUGAGUGCUGGAGAGGAAAGCGGAAUUCCUAGUGUAGCGGUGAAAUGCGUAGAUAUUAGGAGGAACACCAGUGGCGAAGGCGGCUUUCUGGACAGUAACUGACGCUGAGGCGCGAAAGCGUGGGGAGCAAACAGG
RNAcentral lists this ribosomal RNA (253 nucleotides) under uncultured bacterium. RNAcentral describes it as "partial 16S ribosomal RNA". It matches the Rfam family "Bacterial small subunit ribosomal RNA", at positions 524 to 776 of the family's 1533-position model. The record is from RNAcentral.